UACAGAGGGUGCAAGCGUUAAUCGGAAUUACUGGGCGUAAAGCGCGCGUAGGUGGUUUGUUAAGUUGGAUGUGAAAUCCCCGGGCUCAACCUGGGAACUGCAUCCAAAACUGGCAAGCUAGAGUACGGUAGAGGGUGGUGGAAUUUCCUGUGUAGCGGUGAAAUGCGUAGAUAUAGGAAGGAACACCAGUGGCGAAGGCGACCACCUGGACUGAUACUGACACUGAGGUGCGAAAGCGUGGGGAGCAAACAGG
RNAcentral lists this ribosomal RNA (253 nucleotides) under uncultured bacterium. RNAcentral describes it as "partial 16S ribosomal RNA". It matches the Rfam family "Bacterial small subunit ribosomal RNA", at positions 524 to 776 of the family's 1533-position model. The record is from RNAcentral.